RNAcentral lists this ribosomal RNA (253 nucleotides) under uncultured bacterium. RNAcentral describes it as "partial 16S ribosomal RNA". It matches the Rfam family "Bacterial small subunit ribosomal RNA", at positions 524 to 776 of the family's 1533-position model. The record is from RNAcentral.
UACAGAGGGGGCAAGCGUUGUUCGGAAUUACUGGGCGUAAAGGGCGCGUAGGCGGCCCGCUAAGUCGAACGUGAAAUCCCUGGGCUCAACCCAGGAACUGCGUCCGAUACUGGCGGGCUUGAAUCCGGGAGAGGGAUGUGGAAUUUCCGGUGUGGCGGUGAAAUGCGUAGAUAUCGGAAGGAACAUCAGUGGCGAAAGCGACUUCCUGGUCCAGCAUCGACGUUCAGGCACGAAAGCGUGGGGAGCAAACAGG